ACCAUAUAUACAUCGAAAUAACAAAACCUCUUCUGGUAUGAACUGUUAUCCAAGAAAUUGGGAGAAUGUCGUCGGCACUGCACACUGCACACAUGCAAUAUGCAGGUGUUAAUCAGCUAAUUGGGGAUAGGUGGCAACGGGGAAACUUUGCAUUCUUGCUUCUCUGAACAACGCAGCUACGAGUGAAAGGCUGUCACGGCAGACAAGACGGUCUGAACUAACACUUCAGUUAAUACUAAAGCCUCUGUAACGUCUCGCCAUGAUUUCCGUGGCAGCGUU
RNAcentral lists this long non-coding RNA (279 nucleotides) under Oryza brachyantha (malo sina). RNAcentral describes it as "long non-coding RNA (OBRA_LNC002050)". The record is from RNAcentral. Lineage: Eukaryota; Viridiplantae; Streptophyta; Magnoliopsida; Poales; Poaceae.